RNAcentral lists this long non-coding RNA (242 nucleotides) under Trifolium pratense (red clover). RNAcentral describes it as "long non-coding RNA (TPRA_LNC012743)". The record is from RNAcentral. Lineage: Eukaryota; Viridiplantae; Streptophyta; Magnoliopsida; Fabales; Fabaceae.
GAUUAUCUAUAACAUUAAGGAUCUUCGCACUAGAAACUGGAGGGUUAGGUUGUUGCAUACUCUUCGGGAGGGGAACACUUGUGCAGAUUUCUUGGCCAAGUUUGGAGCUCGCAACCCUGAAGCUUAUUCUCCUAUGGCUGUUCCGCCGGAUGGAAUGAGUCUUCUCCUACUAGCUGAUGCUAGUGGGACUAUUUUUUCUAGAUAAUUUUCUUUUUGUCUUUUCCUUUUUUCUUCAUCUUGUA